UACAGAGGUGGCAAGCGUUGUUCGGAAUUACUGGGCGUAAAGGGCGCGUAGGCGGCCAACUAAGUCGGAUGUGAAAUCCCCAGGCUCAACCUGGGAACUGCAUCCGAUACUGGAUGGCUUGAAUCCGGGAGAGGGAUGCAGAAUUCCAGGUGUAGCGGUGAAAUGCGUAGAUAUCUGGAGGAAUACCGGUGGCGAAGGCGGCAUCCUGGACCGGCAUUGACGCUGAGGAGCGAAAGCUAGGGGAGCAAACGGG
This 253-nucleotide ribosomal RNA is filed under the name uncultured bacterium. RNAcentral describes it as "partial 16S ribosomal RNA". It matches the Rfam family "Bacterial small subunit ribosomal RNA", at positions 524 to 776 of the family's 1533-position model. The record is from RNAcentral.